This 253-nucleotide ribosomal RNA is filed under the name uncultured bacterium. RNAcentral describes it as "partial 16S ribosomal RNA". It matches the Rfam family "Bacterial small subunit ribosomal RNA", at positions 524 to 776 of the family's 1533-position model. The record is from RNAcentral.
UACGUAGGGGGCAAGCGUUGUCCGGAAUCAUUGGGCGUAAAGAGCGCGUAGGCGGCCUUGUAAGUCCGCUGUGAAAGUCAAGGGCUCAACCCUUGGAUGCCGGUGGAUACUGCAGGGCUAGAGUCCGGAAGAGGCGAGUGGAAUUCCUGGUGUAGCGGUGAAAUGCGCAGAUAUCAGGAGGAACACCGAUGGCGAAAGCGGCUCUCUGGAACGGUACUGACGCUGAGACGCGAAAGCGUGGGGAGCGAACAGG